This 94-nucleotide transfer RNA is filed under the name Phycisphaerae bacterium. Its description in RNAcentral is "tRNA-Ser". It matches the Rfam family "tRNA". From Rfam's summary of the family: Transfer RNA (tRNA) molecules are approximately 80 nucleotides in length. Their secondary structure includes four short double-helical elements and three loops (D, anti-codon, and T loops). Lineage: Bacteria; Pseudomonadati; Planctomycetota; Phycisphaerae. The record is from RNAcentral.
GGAGAGGUGGCUGAGCGGUCGAAAGCAACGGUUUGCUAAACCGUCGAGUGGGUUAUUACCUGCUCCCAGGGUUCGAAUCCCUGCCUCUCCGCCA